UACGUAGGGUGCAAGCGUUAAUCGGAAUUACUGGGCGUAAAGCGUGCGCAGGCGGUUUGGUAAGACAGAUGUGAAGUCCCCGGGCUUAACCUGGGAACUGCAUUUGUGACUGCCCGGCUAGAGUGUGUCAGAGGGGGGUAGAAUUCCACGUGUAGCAGUGAAAUGCGUAGAUAUGUGGAGGAAUACCGAUGGCGAAGGCAGCCCCCUGGGAUAACACUGACGCUCAUGCACGAAAGCGUGGGGAGCAAACAGG
RNAcentral lists this ribosomal RNA (253 nucleotides) under uncultured bacterium. Its description in RNAcentral is "partial 16S ribosomal RNA". It matches the Rfam family "Bacterial small subunit ribosomal RNA", at positions 524 to 776 of the family's 1533-position model. The record is from RNAcentral.